This is an RNA transcript of Abrus precatorius (Indian licorice), 2926 nucleotides long. It is a transcript of the gene named cysteine synthase-like, with no coding region annotated. NCBI's taxonomy places the organism in Eukaryota, Viridiplantae, Streptophyta, Magnoliopsida, Fabales, Fabaceae. The record is from RefSeq and is a predicted model, not a curated record. The transcript has 10 exons.
AACCCAUGCCCAUAUGAGAAGCAGCAUCCGUCAUAAAAUUGAAGAUAAUAAAUAUAUUUUAAUGAACAACCUAUCCAAUUCUGCUGAAACCCUUUGAGAUUGGUUUUAUGGACAUACGAUAAUUCUAGUUUGCCCAAAUACCCUCCUGUUCAUGCGUCGAGUAAUCUGUUUUUACAUGCUCAAUAAUUGAACUGUUUUUGUGUUUUCUUAUGUUGGUGGGCCUUGGUUGUAAUACAAUACUUAGCUUCCCUUUUUAUAGCCAUGACGAAUUCAACAAGACAACAACCAAAUCUUUGUUUUGUGAAAGACUGACAGGGUUCUGUGUAGGCAUUCUCUUAUUCUGCACACCCCUUGCCUUGCUAGCAGGCCUUCUCGAGUAGGAAACAUGGAGCCACAGUGUGCAAUUAAGAAAGAUGCCACUGAAUUAAUAGGUAACACCCCAAUGGUAUAUCUGAACAACAUUGUGGAGGGGUGUGUAGCCCGAAUUGCUGCUAAGUUAGAGUCCAUGCAACCCUGCUUCAGUAUCAAAGAUAGGACAGCAUUUAGCAUGAUUAAAGAUGCUGAGGACAAAGGCCUCAUUAAACCUGGAAAGAGUGUUCUAGUUGAGGCUACAAGUGGCAACACAGGCAUUGGAAUGGCAUUCGUAGCAGCAUUGAAGGGCUAUAAAGUAAUAGUGGCUAUGCCAGCUUCUGUUAGUCUAGAGAGAAAAAUUGUACUUGGAGCCUUUGGAGCUGAGGUGUAUCUGACAGACCCUGCCAAAGGAACAGAUGCAGUUCUUAGGAAGGCCGAGGAAAUUGUAUCCAAGACUCCCGGGAGUUUUAUGCUUCGCCAGAUUGAUAAUCCUGCCAAUCCAAAGAUUCAUUAUGAGACAACUGGCCCUGAGAUUUGGAGGGACUCGGGAGGGAAAGUUGAUGCUUUGGUUGCAGGGAUAGGAACUGGGGGAACAAUAACGGGUGCUGGCAGAUUCCUCAAGGAGAGAAACCCGGAUAUCAAGCUGUACGGUGUAGAACCAACCGAAAGUGCAGUCCUCAGCGGAGGACAGCCUGGUGAUCACCUAAUCCAAGGGAUUGGUAAUGGUAUCAUUCCGAGUGUACUGGAUGUUAGUCUCCUAGAAGAAGUUAUUCAGGUACUUUUUAUGUUGCCAUUCAAUUUUCAAUUUUUAUACAGAAAGUCAGAAAGUGGCCAUUUCUUUUCAAUUUGAAGUAGUCUCUCUCAGUCAAGUGUAUCCUCAUAAUUUGUUCUUUUUGUUAUGCAGAAAAUUACUGGAAUAAUCUUAAUAUAUUUAGUUUUUUCGCAGAUAAAUCUUAAUAUAUUUAGUCAAGUGUAGCCUCAAUUUUUCGCAGUACGAACUCACUUUUUAACCAAUUUUUUUUACGUUUCUAUACUGAAGGCAGCUCUUCGUGUGUUUUAUUUUUGUACUUUCUCAUUUCUGAUUCUUGAAGCAGCUUGCAAAUGUUACACGCUUCUCCAUUGGAUAAGAGCGGCAAUCAUGUCUGAUUCUUGUCGAAAUUUUGCUUUUCCUUUUUCUUGGACUCUGAUCUUGGCAUGUGCUGAGAUUAAAUAUCUGGACAAGUAUCACCUAUUAGUUCACACUUCACAGUGAGGCAUAUUGAUUAUGAAUAUAUGAUUCUUAAAACAUGUUUAGAUUUUGUAGGAAUAUAUAAAUAGAUAUGCUUGAAAAAAUUGGACAAACACCAAUGAAUUGCUGGCGAUAAAAUCCUCCCAACCUUGUAUUGAAAAGCAAAUAAUCACAAAUCAUGGCCUUAAUUGCGGGCAUUAUCUUAGGCUUACAAUCUUUCCUAUUACAGACUUAGACUGACAAGGCUCUACAAUUAGUACAAGUUUCUUUACACAUACGUAGUGUUUACACUGCUAGCUACUAAUACAAGAGUAGAAAAUUGUUGACUAAAACGGUUUGUAAAUUGCAGAUAUCAAGUGAAGAAGCUAUAGAAACUGCUAAGCUGCUUGCUUUGAAAGAAGGUUUGUUGAUGGGAAUUUCGUCAGGAGCCGCUGCAGCAGCUGCCAUAAAUUUGGGGAAGAGACCAGAAAAUGCAGGAAAACUCAUUGUUGUGAGUUUCUAACCUUUGACAAACUUAUUUGACCGGAAUUAAGGAGAUGAUUAUAUUCUAGAAAUUUAUCACACACACACAUUUGCCUUAUAUCUUCAGAUAAGUUGUUUCCCCUUUUUCAUAUUUCUUUCAUACUGAAAAUUUUGCCAAAGGAAAACAACAGUAAUGAACGAUGUCAGCGAAUAAACAGAAAAAAGGAGAGGCAGUGAUGAGGAGUGAGAGAGCACUUGGCCCUGAGGAAGUUGUGUUUCCCAGUUAUGGAGAGCGUUAUUUAUCUUCACCACUAUUUGAAUCCAUUAGGCAUGAAGCUGAACAAAUGACAUUUGACUAAGAUCAGAAAUCUUAUGUCAUUGUGCUCUCCGGAUUUGACACUUCACCAUCGUUUGAAUCCAUUAGGCACGAAGCUGAAUAAAUGCAUUUGAAAGAUCAGAAAUCCUAUGUUACUGUCAUCUCCGGCUUUUACACUUCACCUUUGCUUGAAUCCAUUACGCAUGAAGCUGAACAAAUGACAUUUGACUAAGAUCAGAAAUCCUGUGUUAUUGUGCUGAUUUUACACAACCAAAAGAAGUUAUACUAUUAUGUCUGGCAAGAAUUGCUGGACAGAACUGACAGUGUCUUAAAAAGUUAUGCAAAAAAUGAAGAGGAAAACCGGAUAUGUUUUCCAUAUAUCACUAAAACUUUUUUUGGGAUCAUCAGUAUUUACGUCACAUUCUUUGUGUGUUGUGUAAUCAAGUAAUCCAUCUUUUAAAUUUAUUUUUUGCAGCAAUGCAGUUUUUAGUUUUUCACUUUAACUGUCCAGUGAUCCCCUGUUCAAGGAUCCAUAUGUUUUACUCAAAUUAUUGGUAAGAAUUUUAUUU